This 281-nucleotide long non-coding RNA is filed under the name Vulpes vulpes (red fox). RNAcentral's name for it is "lncRNA (ENSVVUG00000003188.1)". Lineage: Eukaryota; Metazoa; Chordata; Mammalia; Carnivora; Canidae. The record is from RNAcentral.
CUGACCUUAGUGGGAAUGAGGUAUAUAGCAGUCCUCAGUUUUAGUUAGAAUGAAAAAUAGGCAUUUGUGUCACCUUGGCCAAGCCAUUUACCAUCUCUAGACACCCAUUUUUGACUGUCAUAUGGGGAGAUGGAUCUACAAAUUUGGGUCUGAAGUGGAAUACCUUUUCCUGUUAUAUAGCAUGUACGCAAAAAAGCAAAAAAAAAAAAAGAAAAAAGACAAAUUUUAUCACCUAGGUGAGUUUAUAUGUUGACCAGCUUCUUGGCCUCUAAAUUAUACCC